Molecule: ribosomal RNA, 403 nt
Filed under: uncultured bacterium
Lineage: Bacteria
Description: bacterial SSU rRNA
Rfam family: Bacterial small subunit ribosomal RNA
Source: RNAcentral
GACGAACGCUGGCGGCGUGCCUAACACAUGCAAGUCGUGCGAGAAAGUUCCUUCGGGAGCGAGUAAAGCGGCGCACGGGUGAGUAACACGUAGGUAACCUGCCCCCCAGUCUGGAACAACUAGAGGAAACUCUAGCUAAUGCCGGAUGAGACCACGAUCCCUUCGGGGGUUGCGGGCCAAAAGAUGGCCUCUACUUGUAAGCUAUCGCUGAGGGAUGGGCCUGCGGGCCAUUAGCUUGUUGGUGAGGUAACGGCUCACCAAGGCUGUGAUGGCUAGCUGGUCUGAGAGGAUGACCAGCCACACUGGGACUGAGACACGGCCCAGACUCCUACGGAGCAGCAGUGGGAAUAUUGCGCAAUGGGCGAAAGCCUGACGCAGCGACGCCGCGUGGGUGAUGAAGGCC